Non-coding RNA from Aegilops tauschii subsp. strangulata, 1907 nucleotides. The record is from RefSeq and is a predicted model, not a curated record. NCBI's taxonomy places the organism in Eukaryota, Viridiplantae, Streptophyta, Magnoliopsida, Poales, Poaceae.
CCAUUGCCCACGAAGCCUGCAAGCACGCCCCUCUCGUUUCGUCUCUCUUUCCCCGACCUCCCCUCGCCGCCGCCGCCACUAUCAACGCCAACCUCCAGCGAUGGCGUUCCUCUCUCACCCGAGCGACGAAAGGCACCCCCGCUGGUAGGUACACAUCAGACACGCACGAGGGGCCGGCCGACCGUAAGAACAAGAAGGCGAUGGUGGACGAGUCGCCGCCGCCGACGCACGUCCCAAACCAGUGGGUCGCCUUCUGCACCGACCACUCCUGGUCGCAGCGCGUGCACGGCGUUCUCCUACAUCUCAAUGACACGGGCAUCGCGGCCUUGCUGAGGAAGGUUGGAGGCGGCGCACAUGGCUAGGUAGCUCAUGAGGGUCCGAUGGGGUGAGCAGCGAGGGCGGCUAGGAGGAGAGCUCGAGACAAGCAACAUUGGAGGAAUCAUGGCGAUUAUCUCCAUGGUGCAGGGACUCCUAAUCAUCCCUCCCCUGUUCUUCUUGCUUCAGGGACUACCAUUGGGCAGCCUCUUCUUCUCCAUGGUGCUCCAGCAACUGCACAAAGAGGUCAGUUAUCUCGAUUGGUGCCACACAACUCAGGCCGGAGAUGAUGGAAGGAUCUGCACAAGAGGACGUAUCUCUGGACAACCACCAAGUGUUCUCCGUGCUAUGCUACUGCAUGAAUCGCCUCCUGGCCAGGUAACAGUUACACUGUAAAUCUGAAAUGCAUAAGGAGCACUAAGCAUAAGACAUUAGGGAUGAUUAGGGUUGGUUUGUUCCGUGUUAAGAAAGUAAGGUUUGUCUUUUGGUUUGGCAUAUGCUUCUCAGGUGGUUUUAUCUGCCCAAACAGGGCGCUUAUAUUGUUAAUUGAGAUCACUCCUCCAAGAAGACAAGAAACUAAAUUUAUGUGUCAAAAAUCAAAUGCUAGCUCUUGAGUUAUUCUCUACCAGCCUGCAUAUCCACUCCUUUGUAGUAUGUUCUAAUGCACCAUGGUUAUCACUUAGUUGAACUUGCUAUUUUAGUGAUAUAAUUUUUUCAAAUAUAACUUUGUUUAUCAAGCUGACCAAAUUUCUCUUAUUUAUUGCACUUCUUCUCUUUUUUCUAAAGAACAUAACUAAUAUAAUUUGAUUGCCCGUUCUUCAAGUUUUGAGCAUAAUUGGGUUCUGACUGUGAGAGUAUCAUUUACAAUUUAAAAGGAGGUACCACACACAACUAGAAAUAUACAGCGAAUUCGCUCAGUCUGUGUCACACGACAUCCAUCCCAUCGGUCACGAUAGACACAAGACUACCCCGCAGAUGGAUGUUGCAGCCAGUGGCCAUGACGAGGCUUAUGCCUGCGCGGAGGUGCAGUACCGGAUGCUGAGAGAAAAUGUUACCCACCCGGCUACGAGGAUAACUGGGAGGAGGAAGAACCGAGCCACAUGGGUAACUCGAAGGGAAAAAAAUCAGUGGCGCAACCGUCCAUUUUCUCAUGCCUCCCCUUCUACAGAUACACAACCACUGCCCUUGCUGCUUCUCAACUCCACCUUUGUCCUUGGCACCAUCGGAUUCAUGGAGCAACAAACAUGAUGCUUAGAAUGCUUGGGAGAUUCAUGGAGCAACAAACAUGACAUGAUCAAAUCAAACCAUUUAAUUCGAGACAAGGAUUGCUGAGUACAAAGGAUUGUAAUUUUGGCCUUCUGUACUAUUGAUGUGCGUAUUUUAUCAAUUUUCAGUGUUUAAAUUUGUUAUGUUGUGCUAUCUGGUGGAAUCUAGAAUGUGAGCAGUUGGGCACUGAUAAUAGGAACAGGAAUGGUUUUGCCGAUGAAGCAUUUUUAUAUUUGUUUUGAUACCAUGUAAUGUAAGCGCAGUUUCAGAUUGAAGAAUGUUAUUCUAAGAGGCUAUAUGGUCUAAUGAUAUGUCCAAUAACUUCA